RNAcentral lists this small RNA (65 nucleotides) under Caballeronia glathei. RNAcentral describes it as "Burkholderia glathei int-alpA RNA". It matches the Rfam family "int-alpA RNA". From Rfam's summary of the family: Acidobacteria (1 example), Planctomycetes (1 example), Proteobacteria. Environment (Lake Washington) Lineage: Bacteria; Pseudomonadati; Pseudomonadota; Betaproteobacteria; Burkholderiales; Burkholderiaceae. The record is from Rfam by way of RNAcentral.
GCUGCGGCUAGGAACGCGAUCCGAAAGCCGGCCCCCUUACCGGUUGCCGCAGCCUCUUCUAAGGG